GGACCUCAAGGAAUCCUGACUGUUUUGUCCACAGGUGACCAAUGCCACCCAGAGUUUCUCCUUCAGGGUGGAGAGAGACAUCCCGGUCGAAGGCCUGAAGCCUGCCGUGGUGAAAGCCUACGAUUACUACGAAACAGAUGAAUAUGCUGUGAUGGAUUACAACGCCCCCUGCAGUUCAG
Pogona vitticeps (central bearded dragon) is the source of this 179-nucleotide non-coding RNA. NCBI's taxonomy places the organism in Eukaryota, Metazoa, Chordata, Lepidosauria, Squamata, Agamidae. The record is from RefSeq and is a predicted model, not a curated record.